GAAGUAAUAUGAUAGGAGAGGAGAGUGGACCACAGGAGUAAGGAAUGGAGGAGGGGCACCAGGGGAAGGUGGUAGGCAGGUGAGAAGAGGUAAAAGGUCAGAGUAGGGAACAGACAAGGAGGGAAGAUUUGUUUGCCAGAAGGAUAAAUCGAUAUUUAAUCCAUCAGGUUGGGACGCUACCCAGACAGAAUAUAAACUGUAGCUCCUCCACCCAGUGGGUGGCCUCACCUUGUGCCAAGACGACGUGAACAGAAAUGGGAAUAGGAAUUAAGUCGUUUUUUCCGCUUCUGCAGGAUGGUACUCAACGAAGCAGUAUCCCAAUUUACGACACGUCUCACUACUGUAGAGGAGGUCACAUCAAGAGCACCUGGCACAAUAGACAACCCCAGCUGAUCUGCAGGUGAAGUGUUACCUCACCUGAAAGUACUGUUUGCAGGUUAUUCUGGACCAGCACUCAGUCCUGGAUUCAAGUUCUGUUGAACUACCAUUCUGUGUGUUCAAGUCCUGAGUUCUUCUGAACCAGCACUCAUUGCUGAGUCUGGGAUUCGAGCUCUGUGUGCUCAGGUCCUGAGUAAGUGUGCUCUUAGUUCGAAUAUUCCCUGUGUUAUUCUCUGAAUAAAUCUUCAUUGGUAAGUGCUACUAUCGAGCCCAUAAGGCUGUAAGAUAUAGGAUCAGAAUUAUGCACUGGACACAUCUAGUCUGCUCUGCCAUUUCAUUAUGGCUGAUCCAUUUCCCUCUCAGCCCAAUCUCCUGCCUUCUCCCCAUACCCCUUCAUGUCUAGACUAAUAACAAAUCUAUCAAGCUCUGUCUUAAAUAUACUCAAUGACUUGACCUCCACAGCUAGUUGUGGCAACAAAUUCCACAGAUUCUCUGCUCUCUGGUUAUGGAAAUUCCUCCUCAUCUCCAUUCUAAAUGGACAUCCUUCUAUUCUGAGGCUGUGUCCUCUUGUCUUAGACUGCCCCACCAUAGGAAGCAUCCACUCCACAUGCACUCUGUCUAGGCCUUUUAACAUUUGAUAGGUUUCAGUGAGAUCCCCUACAUUCUUCUGAAUUCCAGUGCCUACAGGCCCAAAGCCAUCAAACACUCCUUAUAUGAUAAGCCUUUCCAUUCAGGAAUUAUUUUCAUGAACCUCCUACGAGCCCUCUCAGCACAUCCUUUCUUAGAUAAGAAGCCCCAAAACUGCUCACAAUACUCCAAGUGAGGCUCACCAGUGCUUUAUAAAGCCUCAAUAUUACAUCCUUGCUUUUCUAUUCCAGUCCUCUUGAAUGCUCACCACCAACUCAACCUGCAAAUUAACCCUAACUCCCAAGCUCCUUGGCACCUUUUAAUUUUUUAAUUUUCUCUCCAUUUAGAAAAUAGUCUGUCCAUUUAUUUCUUCUACCAAAGUGCUUGACCACACACUUCCUGACAGUGAAUUUCAUCUCCCAAUCCUUUGCCUAUUCUCCUAAUCUGUCCAAGUCCUUCUGUAGCCUCUCCACUUCCUCAAAACUACCUGCCUCUCCAUCUAUCUAUAUAUCACCGCAAACUUGACCACAAAGCCAUCAAUUCUGUCAUCCAAGUCAGUGGCAUACAAUAUAAAAAGAAUCGGUCCCAACACAGAUCCCUGUGGAACAUCACUCGUUACCGGCAGCCAACCAGAAAAGGCUAACGUUAUUCCCACUCUUUGCUUCUUGCCAAUCAGCCAAUACUCUAUCCAUGCUAGUAUACUUCCUGUAAUACCAAGGGUGUUUAACUUGAUAAGCAGCUUCAUAUGUGGCACCUUGUGAAAGGCCUUCUGAAAAUCCAAGUACACAAGAUCACUGAUUUUCCUGCUCUACUCUCUAUAUCCCCAUGACUGUGUCGCUAGGCAUAGCUCAAAUACCAUCUAUAAACUUGCUGAUGAUACGACCAUUGUUGGUAGAAUCUCAGAUGGUGACAAGAACAGGAGUGAGAAAUGCCAACUAGUGGAGUGGUGCUGCAGCAACAACCUGGCACUCAACGUCAGUAAGACAAAAGUGGUGAUUGUGGACUUCAGGAAGGGUAAGACGAAGGAACCUCAUAGAAGGAUCAGGAGUGGAGAGAGUGAGCAGUUUCAAGUUCUUGGUGUCAAAUCUCUGAGGAUCUAACUUGGUCCCAACAUAUCAGUGUAGUUAUAAAGAAGACAAGACAGUGGCUAUACUUCAUUAGGAGUCCGAAGAGAUUUGGUAAUUCAACAAAUAACUCAAAAACUUCUCAAAAAGAUGUACUGUGGAGAGCAUUCUGACUGGUAUUGGGGGGGGGGGGUCACUGCACAGGACUGAAAGAAGCUAUAGAGGGCCAUAAAUUUAGUCAGCUCCAUCCUGGAUACUAGCCUACAAAGUACCCAGAAUAUCUUCAAGGAGCAGUGUCUCAGAAAGGCAGCGUCCAUUAUUAAGGAUCUCCAGCAUCCAGAGCAUACCCUUUUCUCAUUGUUGCCAUCAGGCUGGAGGUACAGAAGCCUGAAGGCACACACUCUGCAGUUCAGGAACAGCUUCUUCCCCUCUGCCAUCCAAUUCCCAAAUGGGCAUUGAACCCUUGGACACUACCUUACUUUUUAAAUAUAUUUUAUUUCUGUUUGUUGCAUGAUUUUUAAUCUA
This is a long non-coding RNA of Hypanus sabinus (Atlantic stingray), 2594 nucleotides long. RefSeq lists it as uncharacterized. NCBI's taxonomy places the organism in Eukaryota, Metazoa, Chordata, Chondrichthyes, Myliobatiformes, Dasyatidae. The transcript is spliced from 3 exons. The record is from RefSeq and is a predicted model, not a curated record.